UUGGACUAUUCUUUCAGAAAGUAAUUUAUGUUUGUAUUGAUCACUUUUAAAAUGAAGCAAUAGAAAUAAAAAUGCCUUACAUAUUUUGUAAGUACAAAGGAAUAUUACUUCAGAAAAUCUGGAUGCUUCUUUGUUUUGGAAGACAGAUACCAAGGCUUUUUAGUCAAAAAGAUUGAGUUUAAAUUUGUAAAUUGCAGCAUUGGCAAAGUCAAAUUCUUUUGACUAGCCUGUUUCAUCUGUAGAGUCUAACAGACAUAACUGGUCUACCUGAGAGAAAAAUGAUAUGGAGAAUAACUAAUUCAGCCAAGACCGCCUAAUUUCUAAAAGGCUAUGAGGAACAACACCCUCCUGGCAGCUGGUCAUCUGCACAGGAUGCUGAGCUGUAGCAGGUCUGGGACUCUGGAAGGAGCUGAUAUAGCCUAGGUCUCCAAUCCAGCCCAACAAGGCAACACCAUCUUCCAUCGCCUUCUCAUUCAACUGAGACUGUCGCAUUACCUACACCCUGUUCUGAAGAUAGUACAACUGUCUUCUCUCGGAGAAGGAAAAAUGUAUAAGCCCCGCUCAUAUCCUUCCAGUCUCACCCGGACACUCACUGAGCCU
Molecule: long non-coding RNA, 600 nt
Organism: Meriones unguiculatus (Mongolian gerbil)
Lineage: Eukaryota; Metazoa; Chordata; Mammalia; Rodentia; Muridae
Exons: 3
Source: RefSeq, a predicted model, not a curated record